GGUAGAGUGCUUGAAAAGGAGUAACAUAAGAUCAAUUACUAGGAGCUAGUAAGUUGUAAAGGGCUUUAAUAACAGGAGUUUGUGUUUGAUUUGUGAAACAAUAAAGAACUUAGCAGAAUCAGAGCUGCACUUCAGGAAUAUUGACUUAGUAGCAAUGAGGAACAUAUAUAGAAGAGGAAGAGAGACUAAUAAGGAAGCUGUUGCAAUAGUCUAGAAGAGAGAUGGCAAGGGCUUCCCAGAGAAGAGGAAGCUGCACAUCCAUGGAAUCUGCCCAAUACACUCAGUGGGAGACCUCUGAGGAAUUUGAGAUGGUUGAUGCCAAGCGCAAAUGGCGACCCUGGGAAGCUGGGUGGUGGGCAAAGCAGCUUCCUGGGGGCCAUCCUGCCCUUCCCCUUUACCUGCUGUUUUCUGUGACCUCUUUUCUGUGGAUAAUUCUUCUUAGUAUGCUGUUGGCCAAGGUCAUGGACUUAUCAAAGGAAGUGAAGCACCUGGAGGGAAUACAAGUCAAUGGGUCAAUGAAUUCAGGCAGGCUGGAAGUUCUUCAGGUAUCCUUGAGCACCUUGGACAACAAGUACCAGACUCUAAAAACAAAGGCUGAAACAAUGGCUAAGGAAUUGAGGAACCUGCAAGAGAGUCAAGCCAGCCUGAGUACCAACUUGUCCCAGGAACUAGCUGAGGCAAGAGAAGACCGAAAGAACAUUCGGAGUGAGAUGUUUCAUGGACUGGAGGCUGUGAGGAAUGGAAAUGAGAGCCAUCCCACAAAACAAAUAAUAUUUUUUAGAAAAGAAAAGAAAAAUAAGAAGAGAAAAAAAUCUGCAAAGCUGAUUAAUACAUGA
RNAcentral lists this long non-coding RNA (836 nucleotides) under Phascolarctos cinereus (koala). Its description in RNAcentral is "lncRNA (ENSPCIG00000030940.1)". The record is from RNAcentral. Lineage: Eukaryota; Metazoa; Chordata; Mammalia; Diprotodontia; Phascolarctidae.